UUUGUAGAAUAAUUGGA
RNAcentral lists this small RNA (17 nucleotides) under Arabidopsis thaliana (thale cress). Its description in RNAcentral is "ATSL021360". The record is from RNAcentral. Lineage: Eukaryota; Viridiplantae; Streptophyta; Magnoliopsida; Brassicales; Brassicaceae.